UACGAAGGGGGCUAGCGUUGCUCGGAAUUACUGGGCGUAAAGGGAGCGUAGGCGGAUAGUUCAGUCAGAGGUGAAAGCCCAGGGCUCAACCUUGGAAUUGCCUUUGAUACUGGCUGUCUUGAGUAUGGGAGAGGUUAGCGGAACUCCGAGUGUAGAGGUGAAAUUCGUAGAUAUUCGGAAGAACACCAGUGGCGAAGGCGGCUAACUGGCCGAUUACUGACGCUGAGGCGCGAAAGCGUGGGGAGCAAACAGG
RNAcentral lists this ribosomal RNA (253 nucleotides) under uncultured bacterium. RNAcentral describes it as "partial 16S ribosomal RNA". It matches the Rfam family "Bacterial small subunit ribosomal RNA", at positions 524 to 776 of the family's 1533-position model. The record is from RNAcentral.